This is a long non-coding RNA of Vespa crabro (European hornet), 6277 nucleotides long. RefSeq lists it as uncharacterized. NCBI's taxonomy places the organism in Eukaryota, Metazoa, Arthropoda, Insecta, Hymenoptera, Vespidae. The record is from RefSeq and is a predicted model, not a curated record. The transcript is spliced from 2 exons.
UUGAAAGAGAAAGAGAGAGAUGUCCAACGCAAAGGUUGCUUGUUGGACAGAGAGGGAAAGAGAGAGAGAGAGAGAGAGAGGGAGAGAGAGAGAGAGAUUGCACGCCCUUGAACGAAGAUAGGUAAAUUUGUAGGUUCGUAUUCACCUGACGAAGACGAACGUACGAUAAACAGAGGGAGGCGAAGCUGAAACAAAGAGAGAAGAGGAAGAAGACGAAGAAGAAGAAGGAUGAGAAGAAGGAGGAGGAAAUAGAAGGGGAGAAAUCCUGAAGUGGCUCGGGAUACGAGGACUAUUAGUGUGUGUGAAAGAGAGAGAGAGAGAGAGAGAGAGAAAGAGAGAGAGGGUGAGAGGGAGAAAGAGGGUAAAAGAGGGAGAAAGAACACACGAGGGGCUUGAUUUUCUGGGUGACGCUUGCGCUUCUCUCGCAAACAGUCGCACAGCAUCGCCAUUCCCGAACUGUCGCGGAAAAUGCGCGAGAGGGGUGGUAGCAACAGCAAUCCCCCACCAGAAACGUUUUCGGAUGAACAUAGGAGAGAACCGUAGUGGAGUUCGAGGCCAGCAUUCUCUCGCGAGGGAAGAGUAAGAGGGUAAGCUGCUACGCGAUCGCUUUGGUGGGGGUAAAGUGCGAGCGAGAAAGAGAGAAAGAGAAUCUGGUGGUGUGCGCGUGUGUGUGGACGCGUGUUGCGCCUGUGUCAGAGAGAGAAAGCAGCGCAGAGGAGAAGGGAGACAAGUCGAUCCUUCGGCCGUUGCGGGGUCUCGGGGGUUGAUAUCGAGGGGCAGGGCUAGGUGGGCAAAGACGGAGAGGGCGCAGUGGUCCCGCGACCAUCAAACCAACAACACCGCUCGCUACGCAAAACGGCGCAUCCUGCUGCGCCCCCUUCUUCAUCUUCUUCUUCCUCUUCUCUUCUUCAUCGGCACCUCGUCGUCAUCGUCGUUGAGUCUGGACCUUCUUCUGCUUCCGUUGCUUCUCGUGCUCGCCGCUCGCACAAACGUCUCGGUUCUUUCGAUUCCUACGCUUUCUCUUUCUUUCUCUUUUUCGCCUAUUUAUCUAUCUAUCUAUCUCUCCUUCUAUUUAUUUAUUUCUCUCUCUAUCUCUCUCUCUCUCUCUCUCUCUCUCUCUCUCUCUCUCUUUUUAUCUCUCUCAUCGUUGCUGCAAUCGUCGGACCAAAGGAACAUACAAAUUUCAAGAAUUUGACAAGUCUAAGAAGAAGAGAUCGGCCAGUCGAUCGGAUAAUAUCCAUUGAAAAUUAACAUUAACAAGAGAAAAAAUGAAGAAGACGUUUCGCGAGAAGAUUUAUAUUUUAUCCCUCUUUCUUUUUAUUUUAUCCCCUCUCUCUCUCUCUCUCUCUCUCUCUCUUUUUCUCUCCUUCCUUCCUUCAUUCCUCCAAGUCCUGAUUUACGUUUUAUUCGAAAGGUGAUCGAGAAAAAAGAAAUCAUCGACUGCGUACAAAUAAUGAAGAUCAUCGAAGAAUUCAUCAGAGGAGAUCUUUCUUAAGAUACCAGGUAGAACCAUGCGGUUCGUCGCCCUGGUACCAGAGUUCUCAUGAAUGAAGGAGGGUUCAACAGGAUCGAUGGAGAGGGCGUGUCUUCCUGAAGUGAGGAGAGGAGAGGAGAGGAGAGAAGACCGAAGAAGAGAGAAGGGGAGGGGGUUGGUAUCCGUGACGUUUUCGACCCCACCUGGGAAGGGUACAUGACGGAGUACACGUGCUCGAUUACGUCACGAGAAUCUCGGAGCAGGACGCGAAAGGGCAAAUCCAUUCAAUUCGUUUGUCUUGUAAGGAUUGGUUACGACGUCUUCGACACCUACUUGACUUUAAGUGAAAAGAGUGAGGUAAUUUCUUGCCCACUUCUCUCUCCCCCCCUCUCCCCCCCCUCUCUCUCUCUCUCUGUCUCUGUCUCUCUCUUUCUCUCUUCCUCUUGGUUUAUUUAAUAAUAUUAUAGCUUACCCUUCGAUACGAAAUUAAUAUCGUGACUUUGGUAUUCGAAUUACGCGUCAUCUUUUUCAUUUUCUUGAAGAUAAAUUCUAGAUAUCGAUCCCUUUCUCCCUUUUACAACUUACUGUCUAAUCUUAUAUAAGAGACGUUUAAAUUCCUAAAUAAAUUAAAAACGCGUUUUAAUCAUUGCAAUACCGAUGAUUCCGUCAUACAAACAGGAAAUUUCCAUCCAAAAGGAAGUUUCUCUCGUUCAAUGGAAAAGCAUAUCAAGUUUCGUGAACGAAAAUGCGAUCUGUUAACGAAAAUUUUUUUGAAUUAUCGAUAUCGUUUCGAAUAAGUCUAAGAAAAAUAAUAGGUUUCAUUAUUCAAAAUUUAAUUCUUAUAAUUAUCCUCAUUUCAUCACAUUCGAUUAAAUAUUUUUAUUUCUUUAUUAUUGUUAUAAAAAUUAAUGUAAUAAAAAUUAAUUAAUCCAAAGCUCUCCCUGAGGAAUUGAACAUAUUUUUUUCUUUAUAGUCAUAGUCCAUGCGAGUAUGAAAUUUCUUAAAAAUUCGAGGGACGUCGAUAUUACCAAUAUCGAUACCAUUUCAGAGGUAUUUAAAUAACUCAAUAUUAAAUUCUUCCUAUCUCCUGCUUGUAUGAGAGUCGAACGUUCGCCCAGAGAGGGGAAGGGUGAGCGGGAGAGGGACUGGGGCUGGGGCUGAGACUAGAACUGGAGUGGUAUGGGGUGAAGGGUAGAACAGACGAGAGUUUAAAUCGAUGGACGUAACGCCUCCUAGAAGUAACCGUGACCCACAGUUCUGGGCAGACGAAGUUCCGGCCCGUCGAGGGAAUGUUCCUUUGUGUCGUGGAGCCCAUCCACUCUACUCAUCCCUUCCAACGUCAUUGCCACCACCGUCCUUCUCAUUCCGUUUCUCUCCCUCUCCCUCUCUCUCACCCCCUCUUUUUCCGAAUUAACUUUUCAGUUGAAAUACGUUGUUUUCGAGUAGAUUCUACGUUUUGAACCGAUCUUUCUUCUCGGAUCCCUUUAAAAGAUUCAUCCCUUUCGUAUCAAAGAAAAAGAUAUUUUGAUUUAUUUGUUUUUGACACCGAUCGAAUCAUUUUUAUAUUAUUGUCUAUUACGGUCAUAAAGAUUUUUUUUUAUAAAAAUCCUACCGCCCCCUUAUGUGUUUGUUUUUGAUUUAAUACAAUUGAAAAGCAUAGAUAACCUAUGUCGAACUCGAAAUCAUCGAUCAGAGUCAUCGGCAAUAUUAGUUAUGGUAUCCCAUAUGUUCCUUUUUUAGAUCGUCUGAAAACUGUAGAGGAGGGUGGACUUCUUGAUUAUGCGAAUAUCUACAGACAAUAGAACCCCAACGUCAGCUGCUCCCACCCUCUUCUUUCUCUCUCCACAUCUCCUUCCCUUUCUCAAAUCACCCCUAAACCCCGGGCCAGGAUAGCACGGGGUCGAACACCCUCCGCGAAAUAAGCAAUAAGUUAUGGUGGGACCGACGACCCCCAUCCCCUCCAAUGUCAUCGCUACACCCCUGAUCAUGGGUCCACAAGGGUGAGCGUGUACGAUAUCGUUGCAUAGUAUAGAUCGACCGCUCAUCAAGCUCAGUUCACAUUGCGACGCUCAUCGUAAAACGUAGCUUUCUCUUUCUCUCUCUCUCUCUCUCUCUCUCCCCCGUUCCUCUCUCUCUCUCUCUCUCUCUCUCUCUCUCUCUCUCUCUCUCUCUCUCUCUUCUCUCUCUUUCUCUUUACAUUGUUUUAUAAUUCUUUUUUCUACUUUUCAUUGUGUUUCACCUACUUCUCUAUCUCUGUUAUAUUAAUUACUCUAAGAUUGCACGCGCGCGCGUAAAUUUGUCGAUUCGCUCGCUUGUCACGGAAAGAAUCAAUGUGUCGUGCGGAACUUCGAUAUAACGUCAACGAAACGAUCGCUUCGGAGUGUCGAGAGUGGAGAAGUGCGCGUUUUUAGUUCGCUGUCAUUUUCGUGAAAAUUACGUGCUUCGAGAUCGAAUUCAAUUAUCCGCGAAGAAUAAAUAAAAUAAAAUAAAAUAAAACUGGUGGGUUAUCUCGAAUCGUGUUCGUAAUUGUUAUCGUUGGGAAUCGGUGUGAAAGUAAGUAAGGUGUAACUUUGAAAAUAAUUCGUUGAAUGAGAUUAUACCGCCGUUAGAAUGAGAUUAUACGAACGUGAUUCGUGUUGUUAUCUGGAAUUGCAAAGAUCGAAGAAAUCUAUCGAAUUCGGAAAGCAUCGAAAAACAUUGCGAUACUCGUCGGGAUAAUGUCGAACGAAUAACUUAAUCCGAUUGAUAUAUUGACGUUUUUCUUUUUCGAGUGUACUUUUUAGGAACAUGUCUCUGUGCGAUCCUUCGGACAAGUUUAAGACAAGAGUGCAUCUUCGACGUCAGCAUGAUCGAAAGCCGAGUGAAAAAAAAAAUAAAAAAGAGAGAAGAUUCGUGAGUCUGUGCUCCUUGCGUUCACUGCGGGCUUCCAUGUGCCAACUUUUCAAAAUUCAUAAGGCACGCGGUGAAUGCCAAGAGCGGACCAAAAUCAACAUUGUCUCUGUCCAAUUGGUGUGUCGCCUCGAAGAAGCCUUGUCAAUGUUAGUGACUUGGAAGAAAGCUCGAAGGUUCUCGUCGAGAACACGCCGAUUCAUUGCCAUAUCCUUUUCUUCCUUCUUCCCGUUAAGCGAGGUCAGUACUCACUAUUCGCCGUUCGUCCUUCUUCGUUCUAUCCGUAAAUAUCUUUAUCUUCAUUCUCUUUAUUUCUUACCGAUUCACAAAUUAUGCAGAAAACAUUAAAGAAAUGUCGGAAAGAAAGAAAAGUUGGAAAGGUGAGUGGACAUUUUUCAUAUAUCUUAACUCAUUUCUUUUUCUUUUAAUAGAUUGUCAUAUAUCUGUAUCAUUAUAUUUGUUUGUCCUUAUUAAAUUCCAUUCUAAAUUAUGACGAAUCAUGUAACGAACGAAACUUGCAAUUACGUUUUCUAUAAUAUAAUCGUAGGUAAAAAUAUUACGUCGUCUUUUAGCGCAUUUCUAUAAUAUAAAAAUGCAUUAUCUAUUCGACAACGAUCGAACGUAAGUACGUUUCGCGGACGAGGAAAAAAUAAGAGUUAGAAGAAUCUUAUCCGUUUUUCUUAUGAAAGAAAGAAGUGAAUUGACGGUGGAAGAGAUCCCACCCCGUAUCUCUUCUCUCGAGAGAGUAACACAGCCUCUCCUAUUAUUUUUUUUUUUUUUAAGGAUAAUGCGUAUCUCCUGGCACGGAGUGGCACUUUGAUAGUAACUGCUAGAACUACUCCAUUGGUGGCAGAGUCAUUGAUGGUAUUGGAGAACGACGAGAACGAAGGGAAAGAAAAAGAAACAGAAGAUUACGAAGAAAAAGUAGAAAAGAAGUAGAAGAAAAGAGAGCUAGAAAAGAGGCGAGCUCGCAAUCGUUUUAAGUGUCCCAUCGGACAUGAGUGUAGGAUGGAAGAGAGAAAAAGGGGAUGGAGGUCGGACUUAAAGUACGAACCCCCGUAAUGGAAAUUGGGGAAUUCCCGGGUGUACGACGAAAACGGCCGGUUGUAUCGACCGAGUCGUCGAGCACGAAAUGAGAGAAGUGGGGAGAGCUUAGGGUUGGACGGACGUUGCUUGGCAACCUCCCCCUACUCACAGCAUCCAUCCUGGACCAAGCAUAUUACUACUACUGCUACUACCACCACUAUCAUCACUACUACUACUAUUGCUAUUACUAAUACUACUGCUGCUACUACUACUACUACUACUUCUACUGUUACUAUUAUCGUUACUACUGCUACUGUUACUGUUGCUGUUACUAUUGCUGUUGAAAUUACCAUCACUGGCAACAUCACUGCUACCAACGCCGGUUGGUGUGUUACAUAUAUUCUCGCAGCCAGUCGCAGCCCAACUCUACAUGACGUCGAUGCCUACCACAGUCACGAUCAUGGUCAUUCUCGUCUAGCCUCCUCAAUCUCAUCUUUUUCAUUCUUAAAUUAAUUUCUUUUCCUGCUUUUUUAUCCGACAUAUUUUGCGUAAUUUCAUCCAUUAUUCCAUGACGAUACUCGACCAUUGUCUUUUCCUUUAUGUCCUACUUAUUUUUCAACAAUCGUUCUCUCUAUACUGCGCUGAUACACUUUCCGUGUGCCUCUUAUUAUUGUUCUUUUUUAUUAAAAAUCUUGAAGAUACGAAAAUAGAUAUAUUGUUUCUUUAAAUAUUAUGCUUUGUUCGAUUAACAGCGGUAUGUAAUAAUUAAUAUUUUUGCGACAUAUCAAUACUUUGCUUAAAAUGAUAUUAAUUAAUAUGUAUGAUUGGAAAUUAAUGUGAUAUUGUAAAGAUAAUCAACUUAUUUUAAUAAACGAUCAAUAUUAAUAA